AGUGAACGCUGGCGGUAGGCCUAACACAUGCAAGUCGAACGGCAGCACAGGAGAGCUUGCUCUCUGGGUGGCGAGUGGCGGACGGGUGAGGAAUACAUCGGAAUCUACUCUGUCGUGGGGGAUAACGUAGGGAAACUUACGCUAAUACCGCAUACGACCUACGGGUGAAAGCAGGGGAUCUUCGGACCUUGCGCGAUUGAAUGAGCCGAUGUCGGAUUAGCUCGUUGGCGGGGUAAAGGCACACCAAGGCGACGAUCCGUAGCUGGUCUGAGAGGAGGACCAACCACACUGGAACUGAGACACGGGCCAGACUCCUACGGGAGGCAGCAGUGGGGAAUAUUGGACAAUGGGCGCAAGCCUGAUCCAGCCAUACCGCGUGGGUGAAGAAGGCUUUCGGGUUGUAAAGCCCUUUUGUUGGGAAAGAAAUCCAGCUGGCUAAUACCCGGUUGGGAUGACGGUACCCAAAGAAUAAGCACCGGCUAACUUCGUGCCAGCCGCCGCGGUAA
RNAcentral lists this ribosomal RNA (506 nucleotides) under uncultured bacterium. Its description in RNAcentral is "partial 16S ribosomal RNA". It matches the Rfam family "Bacterial small subunit ribosomal RNA", at positions 29 to 523 of the family's 1533-position model. The record is from RNAcentral.